Molecule: non-coding RNA, 313 nt
Organism: Cinara cedri
Lineage: Eukaryota; Metazoa; Arthropoda; Insecta; Hemiptera; Aphididae
Source: the annotation of a GenBank genome assembly
UUUCCGUUACGAUGUAUGUUUACUGAAUGCGUGCAUAUAGAUUUUUUUUUGAUUUUUUUUAGGUUCUAAGCAAAACGAGGAUCGUUUAGGUUUUUCUAAAAUUAUUAUUAUUGUUAUUUUUUUUUCGGUCUGUAAAUAAUACUCUUUUAUCAAAACUCUUGCCCUAAUCGAAACACUCAAGGAACUGUAUUUUUUUAUUGUUUAUCUAGUCGGUUAGGUUAGGCGGUAGGAUUUACAGAUCAAUAAUACGUAGUUUGAUGUACCUAAGUAUUACACUUAUAUAAUAAAACUUAUUUUUCGGCUUUAGUUUUCA